RNAcentral lists this ribosomal RNA (433 nucleotides) under uncultured bacterium. RNAcentral's name for it is "partial 16S ribosomal RNA". It matches the Rfam family "Bacterial small subunit ribosomal RNA", at positions 29 to 507 of the family's 1533-position model. The record is from RNAcentral.
AACGAACGCUGGCGGCAUGCCUAACACAUGCAAGUCGAACGAGACCUUCGGGUCUAGUGGCGCACGGGUGCGUAACGCGUGGGAACCUGCCCUUAGGUUCGGAAUAACUCCCCGAAAGGGGUGCUAAUACCGGAUAAUGUCUUCGGACCAAAGAUUUAUGGCCUUUGGAUGGGCCCGCGUUGGAUUAGCUAGUUGGUAGGGUAAAAGCCUACCAAGGCGACGAUCCAUAGCUGGUCUGAGAGGAUGAUCAGCCACACUGGGACUGAGACACGGCCCAGACUCCUACGGGAGGCAGCAGUGGGGAAUAUUGGACAAUGGGCGAAAGCCUGAUCCAGCAAUGCCGCGUGAGUGAUGAAGGCCUUAGGGUUGUAAAGCUCUUUUACCCGGGAUGAUAAUGACAGUACCGGGAGAAUAAGCUCCGGCUAACUCCGUG